GUGCCAGCAGCCGCGGUAAUACGUAGGGUGCGAGCGUUAAUCGGAAUUACUGGGCGUAAAGCGUGCGCAGGCGGUUUGUUAAGAUAGGCGUGAAAUCCCCGGGCUCAACCUGGGAACUGCGUUUAUGACUGGCAGGCUAGAGUAUGGCAGAGGGGGGUGGAAUUCCACGUGUAGCAGUGAAAUGCGUAGAGAUGUGGAGGAACACCGAUGGCGAAGGCAGCCCCCUGGGCCAAUACUGACGCUCAUGCACGAAAGCGUGGGUAGCAAACAGGAUUAGAAACCCCUGUAGUCC
RNAcentral lists this ribosomal RNA (292 nucleotides) under uncultured bacterium. RNAcentral describes it as "partial 16S ribosomal RNA". It matches the Rfam family "Bacterial small subunit ribosomal RNA", at positions 505 to 796 of the family's 1533-position model. The record is from RNAcentral.